AAAAAAAUGAACAUAAUACUAAUUGUAUGCUCUAGUGUGUCAAUACAGGUGGGCGUCUCUCAACUUUGGAACCUUGAGUUCAGCAGCAGAAGAGCAGAUUAAUAGAAUUGGGAGAAAAUAAGCCAGUCUUUGGCUCGAAAUUGUGCGGCUUGAUCUCUCACUUUGUCCCUGAAGCGGAGAAGAAGUUCAAAGGACAGUCAAUCGCCUGAUGAAGACCGACAGAACAUCGUGGACUUGAAUACAGCAGGCAAACGGCAGUGCCACUGAUCCAGUAACACUGAUGACGACUGACGACCAGCAGCAGCAUGUAAGAGUACUGCAACAUGUACUGUGAAAAUACAGGCUGGGCAGUUGAACAGUGGGAUAAAGAAUUGUGGAAGAGCACUGGACAUUGAGUGAUAUUUUGCCAUGCUGGGACUUAACUUAAAAGAAAGACUGUAAAGAAACAGAGAAGAAGACAACAGCUGAGUUGAGACUGUGUUUGCUGGAGCUUUGAAGCCCGAAUAGGACGCUGUGAAUGAAAAAGGACCAGUGAGAGGUGAAGCUGGACGAGUUUGACUGCGAGAAUAUAGGAUAUAAUUGGAUUGAAAAUUGAAGCCUGAACUCAUGAAUUGUUUAGGGAUGUCCACCACAGCAUAACAAAGAGGCCUGGAAGAGAGUGAACUGACGGCGCGGACAAAUUACCAAGUAAGGAUUGCAGCGAGUCAAUCCAGUCAAAAGUAUAGAGAACUAUUUUCCUAAAAAGGAAAACGAAAUAAAACAAAUGAUUGAGCUCAUUUUGCUGAUGUGGAGCAUCUGAUGACGUGCGCGGAAGGCUGCAGAUCAGCAAAAUGAGCUCAAUCCUUUAUUUUAUUUCGUUUUCCUUUUUAGGAAAAUAGUUCUCUAUACUUUUGACUGGAUUGAAUCGAUCAAUCCAUUUUUAGACAGAGACUUGCCGCCAAUCAGUCUCUGA
This is a long non-coding RNA of Oreochromis aureus, 952 nucleotides long. Lineage: Eukaryota; Metazoa; Chordata; Actinopteri; Cichliformes; Cichlidae. The record is from Ensembl.